Molecule: long non-coding RNA, 1376 nt
Organism: Mytilus californianus (California mussel)
Lineage: Eukaryota; Metazoa; Mollusca; Bivalvia; Mytilida; Mytilidae
Exons: 2
Source: RefSeq, a predicted model, not a curated record
UUAUUAUACGACCGCAAAAAAAUUUUUGUGGUCGUAUAUUGGUAUGACGUCGUCGUCGUCGUCUGGCGUCGUCCGGCGUCGUCCGAAGACACAUUGGUUUUCGCACUUUAACUUUAGUUUAAGUGAAUGGAUCUCUAUGAAAUUUUACCACAAGGUUCAAUACCACAAAAGGAAGGUUGGGAUUGAUUUUGGGGGUUAUGGUACCAACAGUAAAGGAAAAAGGGGCCAAAAAUAAGCAUUUUUGUAACUUCCAGACAUAACUUGUGUGUUAGUGUAUGGAUCUCUCUGACAUUGUACCACAAGGUUCCAUAUCACAAAAGGAAUGCUGGGAUUGAUUUUGGGGGGUAAUUGCCUCAAAAUAUUAGGAAUUAGGGGCCAAAAAAGGGGCAAAAAAACAAGCAUUUUUCUAGUUUCAUGACAAUAACUUGUGUGUAAGUGCAUGGAUCUUUCUGAAAUUGUACUACAAGGUUCCAUAUCACAAAGGGAAAGCUGGAAUUGAGUUUAGGGGUAAUUGCCCUAAAUGUUUAGGAAUUUGGGGCCAAAAAGGGGCCAAAAAACAAGCAUUUUUCUAGUUUCCAGACAAUAACUUGUGUUCAAGUGUAUGAAUCUCUCUGAAAUUGUACUGCAAGGUACCAUACCACAAAGGGAAAGCUGGGAUUGAGUUUGGGGGCGAUGAAUCAUAAGGGGGUUCAAAAAAUUGGGGGGGGGGAUUUUUUUUUUCCUUUUUUUUCUUUAACAUUUUCCAUUUUAAAUUGGUUAUUUCUGAUUUAUAUAUAAAAGCAAAUAAUAAUGAUAUGGUUUGAAUAGGCAUACAUGUGAACCUCCCGACGGGAGUACAAUAAUCCCGUUUUCAGGGGUCUCCUCCCCCCCUCCCGUUGAAAAAAUCCCGUGUAUGAAAUUUUUCAUGAAUGAAAAAUUUCUGCCCAACAUAACAUCUCAGGCAUCUGGUGUAACUGACAUUACCUGAAGUUAUAUUUUACCUGUAAAUCAAUAAACAUGCAUAAUUAUAUGGCUUCACUUGUCAGCUUGGGUGUCAAACAUACUGGUAAGCAACGAUUUUUACCUCAGGCUAACUGCCGUUGUGUAACAAAAACUCUGUAUUUAUUGGGUUACUUCCCUUGAUUUAUCCUGUUUUAAGUUACUUUCCUUUUAAUAAUGAAAAUUUUUAAAAGAAUAUAAAUAAAAUAUAAAUUGAACAAAUAAUCAUAAAAGGAUGGUUAUUAAAUGAUUUUAAAUGUCUUAGGACAAAUAAAAAAAUAAUAAUUUGAAAAUUAUUUGAGGAUUCUAUACUUCCUUUUAAGGCUUAAAUUGAAAUUUAUAUAAUAACUAUGACCCUAACUUUCAAGAUAGAAUGAAUUUCUGAGUUUGCAAAUAAA